UUUCCUUUUUAGCUCACCUGACCUGAAAGGUCAAGUGAGCUUUUCUCAUCACUUUGCGUCCGUCGUCCUGCGUCCGUCGUCCGUCGUCCGUAAACUUUUACAAAAAUCUUCUCCUCUGAAACUACUGGGCCAAAUUUAACCAAACUUGGCCACAAUCAUCAUUGGGGUAUCUAGUUUUAAAAAUGUGUGGCGUGACCCGGUCAACCAACCAAGAUGGCCGCCACGGCUAAAAAUAGAACAUAGGGGUAAAAUGCAGUUUUUAGCUUAUAACUCAAAAACCAAAGCAUUAAGAGCAAAUCUGACAUGGGGUAAAAUUGUUCAUCAGGUCAAGAUCUAUCUGCCCUGAAAUUUUCAGAUGAAUCGGACAACCCGUUAUUGGGUUGCUGCCCCUGAAUUGGUAAUUUUAAGGAAAUUUUGCUGUUUUUGGUUAUUAUCUUGAAUAUUAUUAUAGAUAGAGAUAAACUGUAAACAGCAAUAAUGUUCAGCAAAGUAAGAUUUACAAAUAAGUCAAUAUAACCGAAAUGGUCAGUUGACCCCUUUAGGAGUAAUUGCCCUUUAUAGUCAAUUUUUAACCAUUUUUCGUAAAUCUUAGUAAUCUUUUACAAAAAUCUUCUCCUCUGAAACAACUGGGCCAAAUUAAACCAAACUUGGCCACAAUCAUCAUUGGGGUAUCUAGUUUAAAAAAUGUGUGGCGUGACCCGUUUAACCAACCAAGAUGGCCGCCACAGCUAAAAAUAAAACAUAGGGAUAAAAUGCAGUUUUUGGCUUAUAACUCAAAAACCAAAGCAUUUAGAGCAAAUCUGACAUGAAAAAAAUUGUUUAUCAGGUGAAGAUCUAUCUGCCCUGAAAUUUUCAGAUGAAUCGAACAACCUGUUGUUGGGUUGCUGCCCCUUGAAUUGGUAAUUUUAAGGAAAUUUUGCUGUUUUUGGUUAUUAUCUUGAAUAUUAUUAUAGAUAGAGAUAAACUGUAAACAGCAAUAAUGUUCAGCAAAGUAAGAUUAACAAAUAAGUCAACAUGACUGAAAUGGUCAGUUGACCCCUUUAGGAGUUAUUGCCCUUUAUAGUCAAUUUUUAACAAUUUUUCGUAAAUCUUAGUAAUCUUUUACAAAAAUCUUCUCCUCUGAAACUCCGUGGCCAAAUUAAACCAAACUUGGCCACAAUCAUCAUUUGGUUAUCUAGUUUUAAAAAUGUGUGGCGUGACCUGGUCAACCAACCAAGAUGGCCGCCACGGCUAAAAAUAGAACAUAGGGGUAAAAUUCAGUUUUUGGCUUUUAACUCAAAAACCAAAGCAUUUAAAGCAAAUCUGACAUGAAGUAAAAUUGUUUAUCAGGUCAAGAUCUAUCUGCCCUGAAAUUUUCAGAUGAAUCGGACAACCCGUUGUUGGGUUGCUGCCCCUGAAUUGGUAAUUUUAAGGUGAUUUUGCUGUUUUUGGUUAUUAUCUUGAAUAUUAUUAUAGAUAGAGAUAAACUGUAAAAAACAAUAAAUGUCGGCAAAGUAAGAUCUACAAAUAAGUCAACAUGACCGAAAUUGUCAGUUGACCCCUUUAGGAGUUAUUGCCCUUUAUAGUCAAUUUUUAACCAUUUUUUCGUAAAUCUUAGUAAUCUUUUACAAAAAUCUUCUCCUCUGAAACUACUGGGCCAAGUUAAUUAUAGAUAGAGAUAAUUGUAAGCAGGAAAAAUGUUCAGUAAAUUAAGAUGUACAAACACAUCACCAUCACCAAAACACAAUUUUGUCAUGAAUCCAUCUGCGUCCUUUGUUUAAUAUUCACAUAGACCAAGGUGAGCGACACAGGCUCUUUAGAGCCUCUAGUUCAAUUCUAAGAAAUAAACAUACUAUGUAUAGUCAGAGAGGGUACACAAUAAUAAUAAAGAUCUACAAAGCUU
This is a long non-coding RNA of Mytilus californianus (California mussel), 1882 nucleotides long. RefSeq lists it as uncharacterized. The record is from RefSeq and is a predicted model, not a curated record. The transcript is spliced from 2 exons. Lineage: Eukaryota; Metazoa; Mollusca; Bivalvia; Mytilida; Mytilidae.